Molecule: transfer RNA, 71 nt
Filed under: Camelus bactrianus (Bactrian camel)
Lineage: Eukaryota; Metazoa; Chordata; Mammalia; Artiodactyla; Camelidae
Also listed under: 3 other names
Rfam family: tRNA
About the family: Transfer RNA (tRNA) molecules are approximately 80 nucleotides in length. Their secondary structure includes four short double-helical elements and three loops (D, anti-codon, and T loops). Further hydrogen bonds mediate the characteristic L-shaped molecular structure. tRNAs have two regions of fundamental functional importance: the anti-codon, which is responsible for specific mRNA codon recognition, and the 3' end, to which the tRNAs corresponding amino acid is attached (by aminoacyl-tRNA synthetases). tRNAs cope with the degeneracy of the genetic code in two manners: having more than one tRNA (with a specific anti-codon) for a particular amino acid; and 'wobble' base-pairing, i.e. permitting non-standard base-pairing at the 3rd anti-codon position.
Source: Rfam by way of RNAcentral
AGGGUAUAGCUCAGUGGUAGAGUGUGUGCUUAGAAUGCACGAGGUCCUGGGUUUAAUCCCCAGUUCCUCUA